AGUCGGCCACAGGUAAGGAGGUCAAGAUCAUUUAUGCUUUUGGAAGCUCGAUGUCGGCGAGACUGGGACAUAGAAUCAGCUCAAUUUUGUUUCAACAGUACCGAUAUUUGUGCUAACGAGGAUGGAUGCAGUUUCGAAAUUAAGAAUCGAGCAACAAGAAAAGGGAGAAGAUAUCGGAGGAGGCUAACGAUUAUAAAUAGUGUAUAAUAAGGGGAGGAGAACGGAAAAGAGGGGGACACAGACAUAUUCAUUCCCGCUUACACACCUAUAUAAUCACCUUUAUGAAGAUGUAUAUUUUGUAUCAGUUCGUGAAGUACUGCAUGAGGUAGUACAUGCGUGUGUCAUGAAGAUGGGCUUGGUUGAAGUUCGUAUGUUGUGAUGUCCGUAGGUUUGUUAAGCCUGGAGAAGAAACAAUAUGUUUAUUGGAAGAUUUACAUUAAGUGUAAUGGAUAUUACUUGAAG
RNAcentral lists this long non-coding RNA (462 nucleotides) under Brassica napus (rape). RNAcentral describes it as "long non-coding RNA (BNAP_LNC018809)". The record is from RNAcentral. Lineage: Eukaryota; Viridiplantae; Streptophyta; Magnoliopsida; Brassicales; Brassicaceae.